RNA transcript from Trichechus manatus latirostris (Florida manatee), 2702 nucleotides. It is a transcript of the gene named G protein-coupled receptor kinase 6, with no coding region annotated. NCBI's taxonomy places the organism in Eukaryota, Metazoa, Chordata, Mammalia, Sirenia, Trichechidae. The transcript has 17 exons. The record is from RefSeq and is a predicted model, not a curated record.
GCGGCCCGGCGGGCCUGGCGGCGCCGCAGCCCAUGGAGCUCGAGAACAUCGUAGCGAACACGGUGCUCCUCAAGGCCCGGGAAGGUGGUAGCGGGAAUCGCAAAGGCAAAAGCAAGAAAUGGCGGCAGAUGCUGCAGUUCCCCCAUAUCAGCCAGUGUGAAGAGCUGCGGCUCAGCCUUGAGCAUGACUACCAUAGCCUGUGUGAGCGGCAGCCCAUUGGGCGCCUGCUGUUCCGUGAGUUCUGUGAGACACGCCCAGAGCUGACACGCUGCAUUGCCUUUCUGGAUGGGGUGGCUGAGUAUGAAGUGACCCCUGAUGAGAAGCGGAAGGCGUGUGGGCAGCGGCUAAUGCAGAAUUUCCUGAGCCACACAGGUCCUGACCUCAUCCCUGAGGUUCCCCGGCAGCUAGUGACAAACUGCGCCCAGCAGCUGGAGCAGGGGCCCUGCAAAGACCUCUUCCAGGAGCUCACCCGGCUCACCCACGAGUACCUGAGCAUGGCCCCUUUUGUAGACUACCUCGACAGCAUCUACUUCAACCGUUUCCUGCAGUGGAAGUGGCUGGAAAGGCAGCCAGUGACUAAAAACACCUUCAGGCAGUACCGAGUCCUGGGCAAAGGUGGCUUUGGGGAGGUGUGUGCGUGCCAGGUGCGGGCAACAGGCAAGAUGUAUGCCUGCAAGAAGCUGGAGAAGAAGCGGAUCAAGAAGCGGAAAGGCGAGGCCAUGGCACUCAAUGAGAAGCAGAUACUGGAGAAAGUGAACAGUAGGUUUGUAGUGAGCCUGGCCUACGCCUACGAGACCAAGGAUGCCCUCUGCCUGGUGCUGACACUGAUGAACGGGGGCGACCUCAAGUUCCACAUCUACCACAUGGGCCAGGCGGGCUUCCCUGAGGCGCGGGCCGUCUUCUAUGCCGCCGAGAUCUGCUGUGGCUUGGAGGACCUGCACCGGGAGCGCAUCGUGUACAGGGACCUAAAACCUGAGAACAUCCUGCUGGAUGACCACGGUCACAUCCGCAUCUCCGACCUGGGGCUGGCUGUGCACGUGCCUGAGGGCCAGACCAUCAAAGGCCGUGUGGGUACUGUAGGCUACAUGGCUCCGGAGGUGGUAAAGAACGAACGGUACACAUUCAGCCCAGACUGGUGGGCACUUGGCUGCCUGCUAUAUGAGAUGAUUGCAGGCCAGUCGCCCUUUCAGCAGAGGAAGAAGAAGAUCAAGCGGGAGGAAGUGGAGCGGCUGGUAAAGGAGGUACCCGAGGAGUACUCCGACCGCUUUUCCUUGCAGGCCUGCUCACUCUGCUCCCAGCUUCUUUGCAAGGACCCAGCUGAGCGCCUAGGGUGUCGCGGGGGCGGUGCCCAAGAAGUGAAGGAGCACCCCCUCUUCAAGAAGCUGAACUUCAAGCGGCUGGGAGCUGGCAUGUUGGAGCCGCCCUUCAAGCCUGACCCCCAGGCCAUUUACUGCAAGGAUGUUCUGGACAUUGAGCAGUUCUCUACGGUUAAGGGUGUGGAGCUGGAGCCUACCGACCAAGACUUCUACCAGAAGUUUGCCACGGGCAGCGUGCCCAUCCCCUGGCAGAAUGAGAUGGUGGAGACCGAGUGCUUCCAGGAACUGAAUGUCUUUGGGCUAGAUGGCAUGGUCCCCCCAGACCUGGACUGGAAGGGCCAGCCGCCUGCACCCCCCAAGAAGGGCCUGCUGCAGAGACUCUUCAGCCGCCAGAGGUGAGCAGUGUGGGCUCCCCGUGGGCUGGCCUUGCUGCCUGGCCUCGGGGAGCCACGGGCAGCCCUUCCAUGGCCGAGGCAAGAUGAUUGCUGUGGGAACUGCAGUGACAGUGAGGAAGAGCUCCCCACCCGUCUCGAGUUCCCCACGCAUCUUGAGCUCCCCACCCGCCUCUAGCCCCCAGCUUGAGGCCCCCAUCGGCGGUUGGCGGUAGCAGCUACUCUGAGCGCUGUUUACAGUUUUGCACAGUGGUCUUCCCCAUUGUCCACUCGAGUUGUGGCUGGGGGAACACAGCCUGAGCUGUCCCCAGUGCCCUCUGCCCCUCAGUCCCUGGCCUGGCUGAGUCUGGCGAGGCCUGGGCUGUCCCUGGGACAAGGUGCGUCCCUUCAGCUCUUCUCUGCAGAGCUCGGGGCUUUCUGUAUUUAUGUGUUUGUACGAAUGUAUAUAGCAACCAGAGCGUUCUUAUUACCCAACCUGGGCCUGGCGCCCUAGCCUCAGUUCCCUGGGGCAGCCAGCCCUGGCCUGGGAGGGUCAGGGGCUGGCAGAGGAGCCGCUGCCAAACUCAAGGCUCCUCAGGUUCAGCUCCAUCUGGGCCCCCACGCCCCCAGCACUGUGCUCGCCACCGCAGACCUCCCAAGUGAGAAUCGUGCCUGCCUCUGCUGCCCUGGGCGCAGCCACCCUGUUUUGGGGCCCACUGCUGUCCCUUCUCAACGCUUGUCAGAGUUGGAUUGGGGCCUCUGCUUCACUAGGCCUGUGCCAAAGUGUGACCAGAGAUUGGGCUGACCAUGGGACUCUCAGUCCACUGGCCAGGCUGUCCCAGAUGGGUCUGCCUCUGCCUUCUGGCUCCCAGGGUGCCUCUUCCCUUAUGCUGGGCCCUGUCCUGAAGAUACUUCUUUCAGAAAUGCCGCAGCCCAGGCCGGGGGGGUGUCCCUGGCCAACCCUCAAACAUUCUGCCUCCCCUUGUAACAAUAGACACACAUGCCCAGCAAUAAU